GAGAAAACAAAUAGAGAGUGCAAGUGUUAGAGAGUAAUACAUAAGCAGGCUUUGUAAUAGGCUAAAUAGGGGGUUGAAUGUUCGUAAAAAAAAAAAGCACCAAAUCUUAAACUACUUAAACUAUAAAACUUAAUCUUUUUAUACUUUUAUACUUAUUAUCACUGUAAAAGUGAUGUUUUAUCUGACUCACGUGCAGGGGUGGCGUUUUUCACCUAUGAAUGGGUCAUGGAACUACGAAAAAAACCUUAAAUUGAUUAUUUAAUAAUUUAAUUAGAUUUAAGUUAUUUAUUAACGAAAUCUUUGUUUAGCCUAUGUAAAUUCCGCGUGCUUUAAUGAGCGCGCGCUGAACAUUGGAGUAGCGUUCAUUCAGAUUCAAACACUGGAGCGGAGGGAGUUGCCAUGGAAACGGGGCGACCGACAACACUGGCAAGCUGCAAGCUCCGUUUCUUGCUGCUGUUUUCACUGCUUUCGUAAGAUUUGUGGCAGUAAAGUAUGUGAUCCUCGGCAGGAAUCAUCUCCUCUAACAUAUGGGUGUCUCCUGGUCCAAAAGGCUUCUCUGUGGGCCAGAGUCUGCUAAGCUAUAAAGGAGGUGUUCCGGACUCACUGCUCUCCUACAGGAUGACAGCUGGUGAGGAGCCGGCCUCUCCAAUGAGGAAACCAGCAACAUGCAAGAGGUGAAAAAGUCUCCGUUUCCUCCUCUCUCCUCUUCCUCCACAGCCAGCUCAUCUUUUGAGAAGCAUUUCUUUUCACAGUGUCUUGUACAGAAGGUCAUUGGCGGAGGAUGUUCUGGGACAAAAAUGUCAAAGAC
This is a long non-coding RNA of Cyprinus carpio carpio, 808 nucleotides long. NCBI's taxonomy places the organism in Eukaryota, Metazoa, Chordata, Actinopteri, Cypriniformes, Cyprinidae. The record is from Ensembl.